UUCCCUUUGACGACAGGUCAGUCCUCUCCUGGGGAAACCUCCCUCCGACCUCGGCCGCCUCUCAGCCGCUGGGCCCCCGGGAGAAAGGCACAGCUGAUGACACACGCAGCAGGAACAAACUUCACGCCAGCCAAGCCAGAAAAGCUGGAUGGGAGGCACCCGACACCCGGGAGGACACAGGGCAGGGCGGGAGGUGCAGGACUGAUUUUUUUUCCCCCCUGGUUUAUAACUGCGCAGGUGCAUUCCACAUCUCCAGCACUAAAAUCAGUGAUGAGUUGUAGCUGGUAAAAUGAAAAUGUCAUCAUUUAGGGAAGGCAGAUGAAGACAUUCAUCAUGGAGGCCAAGCAACAAUAGGAGACCAGCACUAUGCUUCCAGGUCCCAAGAAGGAUGCCAGUCAGCCACAGUCAAAUAAUACUGGCUACAGUAACACCAUUUUAGAUCUUUAUUUUCCAAAAGGUAUUAAUUGUAUUUAAAAUUGUCUUUUACCAAUUAAUUCCCUUGCUGUGAUUUUAGCAAUGAUCAACAAGACAGCUGAAUAUGAGCCAGCAUUGUGUCCAGGCGGCCAAGAGGGCCAACAGCAUCCUGGCUUGUAUCUGGCAUACUGUGGCCAGCAGGAGUAGGGAAGUGAUUGUGUCCCUGUACUUGGCGCUGGUGAAGCUGCACCUCAAGUACUGUGUUCAGUUCUGGGCCCUUCACUACAAGAAGGACAGUGAGGUGCUGGAGCAUGUCCAGAGAAGCUGGUGAAGGGUUUGAAACACAAGAGCUAUGAGGAACACCUGAGGGAACGGACUGUUCAGCCUGAAGAAAAUGAGGCUGAGGGGAGACGUUCUCGCUCUCUACAAUUACCUGAAGGAGGUUCUACUGAGGUGGGGGUUGGUCUCUUCUCCCACUAGCAAACAACAUGACAUGAGGAAGUGGCCUCAAGUUGUCCCAGGGGAGGUUUAGGUUAGAUAUUAGGAAAAAUUGCUUCACUGAAAAGGUUGUCAAUCAACUGGAACAGGCUGCCCAGGGAAGGGGUUGAGUCACCAUCUCUGAAGGUAUUUAAAAGACCUGUAGAUGUAGGCAUUUAAAAGAUGUAGAUGUGGUGCUUAGGAACACAGUUUAGUGGUCUACUCGGCAUCGUUGGGUUUGCAGUUGGUCCCAGUGAUCUUAAAGGUCUUUUCCAGCUUAAAUGAUUCUAAGGUUCUAUUAAUUUUAACUGGAAAAAGAGCAAGCCUCCUAAACUGACUACAUCCCAAAAUGUUAAUGCAUUCACAACUGAAAGAUAAGUGAACACACAAAACUGUGGUAAUAAAAGACUUUACUAAAAUAUCAUACAUUGAAUAGUGAGCUCAACAUUCUCACGUUCUAUGCAAGUAAUGCAAACACUGUCACACAUUUUAUAUUAACAUUAUAGAGUAACCUGCACAAAUCCAAGAAGAGCAGCAUUCCUGUCUGAUCCAUUACAGACAGUUAGGCCUUGUAUUCCGCUCAGCUUUUACAUAAGGCAAAUGUUUCAUUUCAAAAAGCUACUCUGUAUUCUCAAAAGUGCCUUUAGGGUUACACCUCCUUAGUAAUACUGAAUCGGAUGAUACAUGCGACCAAAUCCUCCACGGAUAUUUUUGAAAAUCCUAACUUAAACUAAGAAUAUGUUAGUUGAGUUAGAAUUGUGAAAAAGGUUUUCAUUUUUCUGUAUUGAAAAACUGUUCUUGUGUAGGAAGAAGCAGAGUAUGCUGAAAUACACAGCUCUAACCAGACACUAUCAGCUCUGUUGAUUUUUACCCUUCUUCCUACUAAAUGAGAUGCAAUGGAGUUGCUUUCCAGAAUUACUUUUCUAAGCUAUUAAUAAAAAAAUUAUUUCAAGAUAAUCUGACACAGAAAUUGAAAUGUUAGGAUAGUGCACUACUUUUCCAGAUAAACUACCCCAAAAUUGCCUAAAUUCUUUCUUUGCCUGUACAAAAUUUGAAAAAUAAGUAUAUGUACAUUGUAGUAUUAUCUUUACAGUUCUACCUAUAUUUCUGAUCUUUUUGUGGUGAUCUUUCAUAGGAUACUGCAUAUAAUUUGGCAAAAGGCCACUAAUAUGGUUUUGAUUGUGUUAAAAACAAUAUCUGAGGCCUAAGCUGAGAAAGCUGAUUUCAUUUAGCUGAUACAUAUAAAGUGACUAGCACAGUGGCUUUUUUUAGAUAAAUAAAUUUGCCUUACAUGCAAUCAUCUACUUUUCUUAAUACACCUUUUUCUUCAAGCAAGAUAAGCUUGUAUUAUAAGUAAUUAUUCAUGUACUAUAUUCUUGUUGAAACCUACUGAAUAGAGAGAAAUAUGAAAUUAAUUUCUAAAUUAUGUGAGCACAAAGAAAAGAAUAUGUUGAGGGAAAUAAUGUGCAGCAACCUGAAGCAUUUACUUGGGAAGCUACUUCACAAAAAGGAAUGGAACAGGCUAUUUGAAUCUAUAACAUUUCAACCUGUACUCAUGUGCUCCUCAUCAGACAUUUAACAGGGAUAGGCAAAUGCUUAGGACAGACAGGCCAUUUGGUGCUUAACAACAUAUAUUCAAAGGGGACAAAGUAUCUGAAAUGCAGUGAUAAAGAGAGACAUCUUGCAUGGGUCACUAGAAAUUACAAAUAGACUCCUCAGAAACAGUAUCCAGAAUGGGAUGGUUUCUUAACACGUGCCUGAGGGCCUUAUUCCCAAUGACAUGGUAGCUAUGAAUGUAGCCCCAAAAAUGUAGUAGUAGCAUCUGCAGAUGUGAUUAACAGAGAAUAGCACCAUCUUCCCAUUUAGUAGCUACAUUCAGGUAAUUAGGAAAUAAAAUGAAAGCUAUAGUCAAGAAUUCUAGCAGAACUUAGCCCUCAAGGGUAACUUUUUAACGAUGAUACAAAGCCGCAAACUGCUCAGGUAAUGCCACCCACAAGCAACCAUUGUUCAGGGAAGCAAUCCAAAAUACGUCCCCAGUUGGGAGACUUUACCUUUUGGCCACCAACUUAGCCUGACAGAAGACCAGCAGCUGCACCAUCCCAGGAGCCAGACACCACCAUAUUUCUUGGAUCUCAACACCUACGGGAGGUGAGCAAGUCAACACAAACCUGGACAGAUAUUCUGCCAAAAUACAGUCUCCCUGAGACUGCGGGGCUGGACUGGUCCUGCCAGCUGGCAGAAGAUUGGCACCAGGCACAGAUGUGGAAGUGAGACCUACAAGGGAUUUCAGUAUUAUUUCUCUGAGAACAAGAAGAGGCCAAGAUGGACAUUAGGCUGCAUUGUGCUGUCCCAGCUCACAGACCCUCUGCUCCCACAAGAGAGGAAGCUAGGAGAGGCAAGGAAGUAUCCUUUUAUGCUCAAUAUUUUUAUGUAAAUUAAAGCAAUAGUCAGCUUGUACCUUGGGUACAAUAACAGUGAAUGGCAAAAAGACAUUUCUACAGGUUACAUGAAAAGAAUAGCAAUUAAAAUGCUGUUACUAAGUUUGAUCAGUCUGACCCAUUGUACCUACCAAAGGCAGCAGCAAAAGUAGAUGUGCUGCAGCAUAGCUUUCAGUCCAAGGGCAGAUACAGCUCCAAAGUUGGAAUGGGAGGUGGAAAGAUGCUGUUCAAUAUGGAACUGGGCUGCCCAAUCCCUUACAUAGGGUACAUAAUAGGGAAAGGCAAAGAUCUCCUCAGUCAUCCACCUGACCACCUGGAUAGCCAUAUCCCUGCGAACACCAUAUAGGCAGCUCUUUUAUGAAUGGGAAACUUAAAAUAAAGGAGAUUGUUCUUCUACCAAACAAAUAAACUUUACUUCUUUUAUCAGCAGUUGUCAAAAGUAAGUGCAUGAGUUCAGGUUACUCAACAUCAGAAGAAAAUAAAUAAUGUAUUAUUACUGUUAUUAAAUGCUUUUCAGGA
Molecule: long non-coding RNA, 3848 nt
Organism: Apus apus (common swift)
Lineage: Eukaryota; Metazoa; Chordata; Aves; Apodiformes; Apodidae
Exons: 4
Source: RefSeq, a predicted model, not a curated record